RNAcentral lists this non-coding RNA (26 nucleotides) under Homo sapiens (human). Lineage: Eukaryota; Metazoa; Chordata; Mammalia; Primates; Hominidae. The record is from RNAcentral.
UCAGACGACACCCCCGAGUUCUGUGC